UACGUAGGGGGCAAGCGUUGUCCGGAUUUAUUGGGCGUAAAGAGCGUGUAGGCGGCCAUUCAGGUCAGCUGUGAAAACUCGAGGCUCAACCUCGAGACGUCGGUUGAAACCGUUUGGCUAGAGUCCGGAAGAGGAGAGUGGAAUUCCCGGUGUAGCGGUGAAAUGCGCAGAUAUCGGGAAGAACACCCGUGGCGAAGGCGGCUCUCUGGGACGGUACUGACGCGUGAGACGCGAAAGCGUGGGGAGCGAACGAGG
RNAcentral lists this ribosomal RNA (255 nucleotides) under uncultured bacterium. RNAcentral's name for it is "partial 16S ribosomal RNA". It matches the Rfam family "Bacterial small subunit ribosomal RNA", at positions 524 to 777 of the family's 1533-position model. The record is from RNAcentral.